CUGCGGACUGUGAAGUUGGGGUAUAGGGCGUUAGCUUCUCUUGGCACUCGGCCAAAACGGCAGGGAAUGAAGUAAUACAGUGCGUCGCUACGUUCAGGGUUACGUAUUUUGUGUUCCUUUAUUUUAUGUGCAGUUCAAGGCUAUCAUCCGCCCCGUCCCCCCGUUUAUAGGAAAUCUUAAAUGUUUUCCGGAUAAAGCCGCCUGUUAAAUUACAUUUUACACCAGCUCGAUAAUCCUGUCAGACACUUCGUUUAAUUUGUGAGAAGUAAAUGACCCAAAGAGAAUAAAUAGAUGGGGUCCAUAUGUACAUAUGCAUUCUCAUUGGUUAGCUACAAAUUGAGACAGAUUUAAUAUUCUAUUCAUUCAUUUUCACACCGUGUCUGGUUUCCGCUCAAUUUGCGCCUGUUAAGCACUCCAAUGCAGUAGGGCUGCUCAAAAUAAAAAAAGCCAGGGCAAACAUCAAAAGCUGACCACACGCUGACCAUGGCAGAACUCUCGCAGAGGCUCUUGGAGCCCGUGCCAACAAACUGGUUUCCCCACGAUUUGGCGCUUCUUCUUCCCCAUACCGGUGGUACACACGAGCAGGCAGACGAUGGUGGUGGUGAGGCCAAUAGUUGGCUCUCUCUGUUUUUUGUUUUAUUAUUUUUUAUCUUUUGGGGCCGUACGCUUCUCUUGUUCGGUGCCUCCACACUGUUUCGCUUCUGCUGCUUGCCUGUUAUGAUGCAUGUGGGAAAACGUUGAACGCCCACAAUAAUAGAUGCUUUUUUCCUUUCAUUUCUUUGGCUUUGCUGUUAGUUGUCAUUGUGGUUAGGAAAUAGUUUUGUGGCCCGCAACGAGCGCUGGUUGCUGCGACCCCAGCAGAAUUUUGUGCAAUAAGCAAAAUGACGGGCACAAAACAAAAUGUCCGGCCGGAGUGGAGGUGCCCGCAACUUCCGCCGAUGGCGCUCUACAUGAUGAUCAUUCAGUUUCUCGCGACGCGCCGCGACGCCAAGCCAACGCCAUCUUAUCGUAAGUAGCAGUUAUAUGGCUCAUAGUCACAAUCGAAUGAAAUGGAUGGCAUGGCCCUGACGUUGGGGCAAUUUUCUGUUGGCCUGUGAUGUGAGCAAACAAAAUGACUACUCAAAAUUGAGCAAAAUGUUCGAGCGAUUGCAGUGAGUGGGUCGUGCGUAGGUAGGGUGCGGGAGGACGAGGCCGCCCGCUCGUUCUCCAUGGGUUUGCAUUAGAAAUUUUAGUUCAAACAAACAAUGUUUUCUGUUGCAAAGUACAAAAGCGGGAGAGUGAGAGUGAGAGAGAGCGCGACUUUGUGGGCGUGUAGCAUUGAGUUUUUGCCUUUGGCCGCCCCAGAGCUUGAUAUUCGCCAAUCUGAUGUGGCCCCAUCUGUUGGGCAAACCCAGAACUAGCCAUUCGUUUGGAUUCAAUUGCCCUUUUUUCCACCAUUUGUGUCGGUUGGAGGUGGAGUGCCAGUGCCAGUGCAUAUCUCCCACGGGAUUGUGCUCAAAAUUACCCUCCUUCUUAUAGUAGCAAGAGCUAGAGAGAGUGAGAACACAAGAGUGUGUUCUGUUCAAUUAACAGAUUUCAUUCUAAUAACCGUUAGUUUGUGGCUUUAAACUGCUGCAAUUUGUCAGGUUUUUGUAUGUGAGAAUUUCUUUGCUUCGCCAGCCCACGGACUCAUACCGUGGGCAUACACACACACACCAACGACCAGUCGUCACAUGGCAGUCCGUUAAAAACCCCUGCCACUGUGACACUAUUGCCAUCCCGCUCUAGCACACUGCGUGAGCGCACCAACGGCAAAGUGUGCAUUUGCGCUCUCCAUCGACGCUUGAAUUUGCUUCGAUUGCCGCCUGCUGUACUCUCUGGGCGCCUGGUGAAAAAGAGGGAAUUCACUUUUGGCGGGGUCUCGUUUUUCCUGGUUUGUCCAAUCGGCCUUUUGUGGGCGCUGCUGUCUGAAAUUGCCGCUCCGCCCGUCCAACAAAACACACACACGCUGUCGCACCCUCGCCCUCCGCCAGUCGCCAGUCCGAGCAGUGAUGGCAAAUUGUUGAUAAGCUGAUAACAAGGCGUCGACGGGCUUCAGGGGGCGGCUGGCAUGGCAUGGGAUUUUGGUUUGCCUCCCCUCGUCGUGUCCGUCUGACUGGCUGGAUUCUCUCUCUUGAAAAUAUACCGUUCUGUGUGAUUGUCUGCUGCUGCUGCUGCUGCUGUCUCUUUUCCAUUUUUAGGGGAGGUAGUUAGUAAUUUGCGUUAAAUGUGCAGCCCAGCAAAUUAAUUUGCACGGUAGGCGUGGUUGUAGGCCUCCGCCCACAUGCCCGUACAUAGCAAAAAGGCACGUGCCGUCUAUACCGAAUCGGAACAAAAGUUAUCCAAUUCCCACAGACUUUUAUACCGGUCGGCAUGAAAUUCGACAACGGCGACAAAGCGUCACAAAAACGAAACGAAAUCGCUCCAAAGCUGGGGAAAAAAAUUACCCCACAACACGCGCGGCGGCAUGUGCGGACGUGGCCGGGCCCCGUGGUGGUGGCGGACUUUUUCAGACACGUUCGGUUUUCGGUUCGGUUUCCACCAGGCGAACAGAAAUAACAGCAGGUCUUCCACCUGGUCAUGCAGGCCGGCUGGCAUCGGCAGAAACAUCAGUCGGACCGAGUACAAUGGGCCAGGCGGAAUAAUUUACCAUCAAACUUCUUGGCGAAUAAGACGAACAACUAUCAUUGCUACGAAAGGAAGGUUAGCUUUCAAUAUCUUGUUGACUUGUCUGACUUAUCAGAUCAGAUCUGGUCCACAUAGUAGUCCCCUACUACUGUGUAGUAUAUGUUAACCAGAUCAGGUGACUUGCUUCCAUAGGCCUUUUAGCCUUGCUCUUGUCAAUUUCGACCAAGUUUUAUAGUCGAUCCAAGCUUGGACGUUGGACAAGGGUUGGAAGAACGUUGCCAGAACUUGAGUAAGCCUUCAUCCUAAAUAACUAGCGACAUCCCCGCGCCCAUCAGAAAGAACACUCAAAUGGUGGCAUAAUAUGGAGACGGCGCUCACUUGUCAGGUCGCAAAAGUUCUCGAGCAGCGGUCCUGGGAAUGGUUUGCCGGUGGCAUUGUAAAUGCAUGUUAUCUGACUCUGUUUGCUUUGUUAACAAAACUUUCUUGGACAAAAAAUUGUUCUGAUUAAGAAAUUAUUUUUGUCCGAGAAUAAUACAUACCUUAUAAAAC
This 3195-nucleotide small RNA is filed under the name Drosophila pseudoobscura pseudoobscura. RNAcentral describes it as "GA32254". Lineage: Eukaryota; Metazoa; Arthropoda; Insecta; Diptera; Drosophilidae. The record is from RNAcentral.